AACGAACGCUGGCGGCAUGCCUAACACAUGCAAGUCGAACGAGACCUUCGGGUCUAGUGGCGCACGGGUGCGUAACGAGUGGGAACCUGCCCUUAGGUUCGGAAUAACUCCCCGAAAGGGGUGCUAAUACCGGAUAAUGUCUUCGGACCAAAGAUUUAUCGCCUUUGGAUGGGCCCGCGUUGGAUUAGCUAGUUGGUAGGGUAAAAGCCUACCAAGGCGACGAUCCAUAGCUGGUCUGAGAGGAUGAUCAGCCACACUGGGACUGAGACACGGCCCAGACUCCUACGGGAGGCAGCAGUGGGGAAUAUUGGACGCUGGGCGAAAGCCUGAUCCAGCAAUGCCGCGUAAGUGAGGAAGGCCUUAGGGUUGUAAAGCUCUUUUACCCGGGAUGAUAAUGACAGUACCGGGAGAAUAAGCUCCGGCUAACUCCGUG
Molecule: ribosomal RNA, 433 nt
Filed under: uncultured bacterium
Lineage: Bacteria
Description: partial 16S ribosomal RNA
Rfam family: Bacterial small subunit ribosomal RNA
Source: RNAcentral